AGUCAGUCUUCUGCUAGCAGCCUUCAGAUGAAGAUGGUGAACACUCAGCUCCUCACGCACCAUGCCUGCCUGGAUGCUGCCAUGCUCCCUUGAUGAUAGUGGACUGAACCUCUGAACCUGUAAGCCAGCCCCAAUUAAAUGUUGUCCUUUAUAAGA
This 156-nucleotide long non-coding RNA is filed under the name Mus spretus (western wild mouse). RNAcentral's name for it is "lncRNA (ENSMSPG00010010207.1)". Lineage: Eukaryota; Metazoa; Chordata; Mammalia; Rodentia; Muridae. The record is from RNAcentral.